GACAAACGCUGGCGGCGCGCCUAACACAUGCAAGUCGAACGAGAGAUGAGGAGCUUGCUCUUCAAAUCGAGUGGCGAACGGGUGAGUAACGCGUGAGGAACCUGCCUCAAAGAGGGGGACAACAGUUGGAAACGACUGCUAAUACCGCAUAAGCCCACGGCUCGGCAUCGAGCAGAGGGAAAAGGAGCGAUCCGCUUUGAGAUGGCCUCGCGUCCGAUUAGCUAGUUGGUGAGGUAACGGCCCACCAAGGCGACGAUCGGUAGCCGGACUGAGAGGUUGAACGGCCACAUUGGGACUGAGACACGGCCCAGACUCCUACGGGAGGCAGCAGUGGGGAAUAUUGCACAAUGGGGGAAACCCUGAUGCAGCGACGCCGCGUGGAGGAAGAAGGUCUUCGGAUUGUAAACUCCUGUUGUUGAGGAAGAUAAUGACGGUACUCAACAAGGAAGUGACGGCUAACUACGUG
Molecule: ribosomal RNA, 466 nt
Filed under: uncultured bacterium
Lineage: Bacteria
Description: bacterial SSU rRNA
Rfam family: Bacterial small subunit ribosomal RNA
Source: RNAcentral